GCCCGUCCUUGCCAAGAGUACCAAGAAGGCACUGGGUCUGUGGCAGUUGGGUGUGGGGGCAGACAGGUCCUAGUUGGUAUGAUGGCUAGAUAUGGUUUUUCUGAGACUGUGGGGUGAGAGCAGUGUGAGCUGAGGAAACUGAGGCAUCAUUGUGGCCACACAGGGUAUGGGCUGAUGGGUCCAGGGCUCCAGGGUUGGGUGGGGGUGGGGGGGCAGGAGACACUUCCUCUGACUGCCUGUUUCUGUCUAGCCUCGGUCCCCAGCCCAGCCUUGCCCCGAAGCCUGUCCCACUGGGAGAUGAGUCGGGCACAGGAGUCCGUGGGGUUCCUGGACCCGGCUCCUGCAGCCAACCCGGGACCCAGAAGAAGAGGGCGCUGGGUUCAGCCAGGUGUGGAACUGAGCGUUAGAUCCAUGCUGGAUCUGCGGCAGCUGGAAACACUGGCCCCAAGCCUGCAGGACCCUAGCCAGGACUCGCUGGCCAUCAUCCCAUCUGGUCCCAGGAAGCAUGGGCAGCAGGCCCUUGAGACUUCACUCACUAGCCAGAAUGAAAAGCCCCCUCGGCCUCAGGCUUCCCAACCUUGUUCCUAUCCCCAUAUUAUCCGAUUAUUGUCACAAGAGGAAGGGGUCUUUGCCCAAGAUCUGGAACCUGCACCCAUUGAAGAUGGUAUUGUCUACCCGGAGCCAAGUGACAACCCCACCAUGGAUACCAGGCAAGGAUCCUGCCCUAGCCAGACCUCGUGCCCCCGUCUUCCCCUCCCUAUGAGUGUUCUUUAGUCGAGGGAGGGUUGGCCCCCAGGAUACUCAGGGCUUUCCUUCCAGCUCACCACUGCCUCAUCCCUCACCCUGAUCACAGGCAGGAGUCCAGCGGGGCUGCUGCCUACCCCUGCUCACUGCCUUUUCUUCUCCCUGCUGGAAUCCUGACAGUGAGUUCCAAGUGCAGGCUCCAGCCCGGGG
Molecule: long non-coding RNA, 954 nt
Filed under: Pan troglodytes (chimpanzee)
Lineage: Eukaryota; Metazoa; Chordata; Mammalia; Primates; Hominidae
Description: lncRNA (ENSPTRG00000054237.1)
Source: RNAcentral